CACGUAGGCGGAUGUGUCAGUCAGGGGUGAAAUCCCGGAGCUCAACUUCGGAACUGCCUCUGAUACAGCACGUCUUGAGUCCGGAAGAGGUGGGUGGAAUUCCUAGUGUAGAGGUGAAAUUCGUAGAUAUUAGGAAGAACACCGGUGGCGAAGGCGGCCCACUGGUCCGGUACUGACGCUGAGGUGCGAAAGCGUGGGGAGCAAGCA
RNAcentral lists this ribosomal RNA (207 nucleotides) under uncultured bacterium. RNAcentral's name for it is "partial 16S ribosomal RNA". It matches the Rfam family "Bacterial small subunit ribosomal RNA", at positions 568 to 774 of the family's 1533-position model. The record is from RNAcentral.